Podarcis lilfordi (Lilford's wall lizard) is the source of this 87-nucleotide non-coding RNA. The record is from the annotation of a GenBank genome assembly. Lineage: Eukaryota; Metazoa; Chordata; Lepidosauria; Squamata; Lacertidae.
GUGUGUGUGUGUGUGUGUGUGUGUGUGUUUGUGUGUGUGUAAACUAGCCCAUUGCACACACAUGCAAACACACACACACACAAUUUG